This 498-nucleotide ribosomal RNA is filed under the name uncultured bacterium. RNAcentral's name for it is "partial 16S ribosomal RNA". It matches the Rfam family "Bacterial small subunit ribosomal RNA", at positions 29 to 523 of the family's 1533-position model. The record is from RNAcentral.
AUUGAACGCUAGCGGCAUGCCUUACACAUGCAAGUCGAACGGUAACGCGGGGCAACCUGGCGACGAGUGGCGAACGGGUGAGUAAUGCAUCGGAACGUGCCCAGAAGUGGGGGAUAGCCCGGCGAAAGCCAGAUUAAUACCGCAUGAGACCUGAGGGUGAAAGCGGGGGAUCGCAAGACCUCGCGCUUUUGGAGCGGCCGAUGUCAGAUGAGCUAGUUGGUGGGGUAAAGGCCUACCAAGGCGACGAUCUGUAGCUGGUCUGAGAGGACGACCAGCCACACUGGGACUGAGACACGGCCAAGACGCCUGCGGGAGGCAGCAGUGGGGAAUUUUGGACAAUGGGCGCAAGCCUGAUCCAGCCAUGCCGCGUGCGGGAAGAAGGCCUUCGGGUUGUAAACCGCUUUUGUCAGGGAAGAAACGCUCUGGGCUAAUACCCUGGGGUAAUGACGGUACCUGAAGAAUAAGCACCGGCUAACUACGUGCCAGCAGCCGCAGUAA